RNAcentral lists this unclassified non-coding RNA (392 nucleotides) under Hevea brasiliensis (rubber tree). The record is from RNAcentral. Lineage: Eukaryota; Viridiplantae; Streptophyta; Magnoliopsida; Malpighiales; Euphorbiaceae.
GGAAGUACCUGAAGUUGAGGUGUUAAUUCUAAAUCCUGGGUCAAAAACUUACAAAUUGCCCCAGUUCGUGAAGAGAAUGAACAGAUUGAAAGCUCUGAUUGUCAGGAAUUACAGGUCCUUUCCAACUGAAUUGACAAGUGAUUAUCAACUAAUCAACUGUUUGUCAAGGCUAGAAAGAAUCAGUCUUGAGCGAAUUUCAAUUUCUUCAUUUAGUGACCACAACCUGAAACCACUGUUACAUCUUAAGAAGCUAUCGUUCUUUAUGUGCAAACUUGAUAGAGCUUUCACGAACUGCUCAACCCAGAUCUCAUCCAUGUUGCCUAACUUACUUGAGAUUUCCAUAGAUUUUUGCAACGAUUUGGUGGCUCUCCCUGUUGGACUAUGUGAAAUUA